This 185-nucleotide ribosomal RNA is filed under the name uncultured bacterium. RNAcentral describes it as "partial 16S ribosomal RNA". It matches the Rfam family "Bacterial small subunit ribosomal RNA", at positions 591 to 775 of the family's 1533-position model. The record is from RNAcentral.
GAUGUGAAAGCCCUGGGCUCAACCGCGGGCCUGCAGGGGGUACGGGCAGACUAGAGUGCGGUAGGGGAGAGUGGAAUUCCGGGUGUAGCGGUGGAAUGCGCAGAUAUCAGGAGGAACACCGAUGGCGAAGGCAGAUCUCUGGGCCGUAACUGACGCUGAGGAGCGAAAGCAUGGGGAGCGAACAG